GACGAACGCUGGCGGCGUGCUUAACACAUGCAAGUCGAACGGAAAGGCCCUGCUUUUGUGGGGUGCUCGAGUGGCGAACGGGUGAGUAGCACGUGAGUAACCUGCCCUUGACUUUGGGAUAACUUCAGGGAACUGGGGCUAAUACCGGAUAGGAGCUCCUGCUGCAUGGUGGGGGUUGGAAAGUUUCGGCGGUUGGGGAUGGACUCGCGGCUUAUCAGCUUGUUGGUGGGGUAGUGGCUUACCAAGGCUUUGACGGGUAGCCGGCCUGAGAGGGUGACCGGCCACAUUGGGACUGAGAUACGGCCCAGACUCCUACGGGAGGCAGCAGUGGGGAAUAUUGCACAAUGGGCGGAAGCCUGAUGCAGCAACGCCGCGUGCGGGAUGACGGCCUUCGGGUUGUAAACCGCUUUCGCCUGUGACGAAGCGUGAGUGACGGUAAUGGGUAAAGAAGCACCGGCUAACUACGUG
This 468-nucleotide ribosomal RNA is filed under the name uncultured bacterium. Its description in RNAcentral is "partial 16S ribosomal RNA". It matches the Rfam family "Bacterial small subunit ribosomal RNA", at positions 28 to 507 of the family's 1533-position model. The record is from RNAcentral.